This 500-nucleotide ribosomal RNA is filed under the name uncultured bacterium. Its description in RNAcentral is "partial 16S ribosomal RNA". It matches the Rfam family "Bacterial small subunit ribosomal RNA", at positions 30 to 523 of the family's 1533-position model. The record is from RNAcentral.
AUUGAACGCUGGCGGCAUGCCUUACACAUGCAAGUCGAACGGCAGCACGGGAGCAAUCCUGGUGGCGAGUGGCGAACGGGUGAGUAAAGUAUCGGAACGUGCCCAGUCGAGGGGGAUAACGUAGCGAAGGUUACGCUAAUACCGCAUACGAUCUAUGGAUGAAAGCGGGGGAUCGCAAGACCUCGCGCGAUUGGAGCGGCCGAUAUCAGAUUAGGUAGUUGGUGGGGUAAAGGCUCACCAAGCCGACGAUCUGUAGCUGGUCUGAGAGGACGACCAGCCACGCUGGGACUGAGACACGGCCCAGACUCCUACGGGAGGCAGCAGUGGGGAAUUUUGGACAAUGGGCGAAAGCCUGGUCCAGCCAUGCCGCGUGCAGGAUGAAGGCCUUCGGGUUGUAAACUGCUUUUGUACGGAACGAAAAGGUUUGGCCUAAUAAGCUGAGCUCAUGACGGUACCGUAAGAAUAAGCACCGGCUAACUACGUGCCAGCCGCCGCGGUAA